UCUUGAGUCUGUGGACGAUGAGUUGAGCAUCGAAUACUGCGUACUUUGGUCGAUUCGUGUUGUCGCAAAUCAAACUACGGUUUUUAUCGAGAGUAGAAGUUAUAAGCUGAGAGAGUACGUGAAUCGGGUAGAAGAUUCAAAUACGAAGGACUUGUGGGGCGUGGCAUAUUGGCUUGGUAUAUCACGUAUACGUGUGGCUGUUUCUAAAUCGUAUCGCUGAGACAUUAAUUGUCUUUUUGGAACUUUUCCCUUAGAGGUUCAGAUAUAAAUUGAAACGUGAGCUAUAACAAUAGGCCAAUCCCAGAUCCAAACAACAGAUAUAAAGGGACGAGUUGUGGUAUAUUACAGAUUGUUUUAGCUGACUAUGCCAUACAUUUUAGUACGUGGUAACCUAGCGUCAUACAGUCAUAAAUAUCCCUGGAGGGUUCUUGUAUCAGGGCUUAAAGCGGCUGACAUAGAGCAAUUGGGUCGCUUUACAAAUAUAGGUUAUUGCGACGAUUCAACGAUAGUAUAUUUGCAACAUCCUUGCAUAAUAUUGACUGCUUUAGAAGUACUUGGUUACAAAGUCGUCGCAUCUUCCAGUACUAGCAUUAAGCAGGAUUAUAAUGAAUACAUGUGGACUAUGAGAAAAGAAUUUCCAGAACCUGAACCUGAACCUGAACGUGUUGUAACAGCUGCGCGGCGAUGGCAACCACGUCCAACGUCAAAAAGGACGUCGCCGACGAGGACGACGACACUUUCUAUUACGUCGGUGUAAGGGCAUCCCCGUUCGCGGCCGAUUGCGUUGUGUUUGGUCUGCCUUCGAAAGAGACGUCGGCCCUACAUAGCCGCUUCCCGCUGUCCUCCACUAGUACGAAUAUCGUGAAUGGAAUUAUGCUCAAAGGGACACCGUUCUCGGUCAUAAAUGCUCUAGCUGAGCUCGGUUAUCGAGUUAUUUGUAGUUCUGGAGAGACCGAGGUACUUUGGACAUUGCAGCGGGAAUGUUAAUGAUAUAAAAAAAUUGGGUCUUACCGUAUAUAUACCGUAUAUAUACUAUUAUAUAUCUAACACACUUACUUGCAAUUUUAUAUAUAUAUCUAUGUUUUUAUGAAUCGAAUUUUUAUCAAGUGAAUGAGAUUUGUAAUAUUAUCAUUCUUUUCUGCAUUUUUCUUUUAUACAUCUUGUAAUUCUGGUGUUCGUCUAAACGCGUUUUGGCGAUAUUUUACAAUAGUUGUUACAAACAUAUAAUAUUGUGUGGACCAUCUGAAAGGCUUUAUCUUACCAAAUAUCUUUUUGAGAUAUUUGAUUGUAUGAUUUUAUAUGUAUCUCGCAAAGUUGAAUGGAUACAUAUAAAAUGUAGCUCAUCAUUAAAGUAGAACAUGUACAAUAUUUCAUUUGAUUUGAAAAUGGACACGUACAACAUAUUAGUCAGUGUUGUAAACGAUAACAUUAAUAACGAAUGUUUUUUGUAUGUUAUCGAAUGUGACAUUUUAUAUGCAUAUUUCAGCAAUAUCGCGAGUUUCUUUGUAAAGGUUAAUAACGGUUUCGAAAAGGGCACGAUAAAAUUGAUUAUGAUAAGACUGUUUGUGAGAGAGAGGUAAUGAGAAGAUUGAGCCACCUUAAACUUUAUGCAUUCCACAUCUGUUGGUAAAUUAUUAUCUGCACUGUUAUAUUACAGAUAAUAAUUUAUCAGCAAAUACGGAAAAUUCCCCAGAGCAAAAUAAUGCGCCUUGGUACACACAUUAUAUAUAUAUAUAUAU
Molecule: RNA transcript, 1739 nt
Organism: Camponotus floridanus (Florida carpenter ant)
Lineage: Eukaryota; Metazoa; Arthropoda; Insecta; Hymenoptera; Formicidae
Gene name: ankyrin repeat domain-containing protein 39
Exons: 6
Source: RefSeq, a predicted model, not a curated record